Molecule: long non-coding RNA, 685 nt
Organism: Dendrobium catenatum
Lineage: Eukaryota; Viridiplantae; Streptophyta; Magnoliopsida; Asparagales; Orchidaceae
Exons: 2
Source: RefSeq, a predicted model, not a curated record
UAAUUAUAACUAUCUUUUGUUUUCCUCAGUAAUGCAAUCAUUGAGAUUUUGAAAAAAUAUUGGAUUGGUGUGGACAAUGAGGAGAAAUAUCUAGAUGGUGAGAUAUUUUUACAAUUAAUCGCUAGUAGUUAUAGUCUUCUUUUGUUUUCCUCAGUAAUACUAUCAUUGAGAUAUCUCUUGGAAGUAUUCUGUUGGUGAUUGCCAACUAGUGACUAAUCUUCUGGAAAUCAAGUUUCUUAUACUCAUUUUGCAAUGUGGAACAUCAAGGAUGGCCUGAAAAUUCUCUUGCAACCGAUGUUUUGAUUUUCCCUUUUAUGUUUGAGUAAUGACAUUGAGAUUUCUCUUGGAAGAAUUCUUUUGGUGAUUGCCAACAAGUGACUGAUCUUCUGGAAAUCAAGUUUCUUAUACUCAUUUUGCAAUGUCGAACAUCAAGGAUGGCCUGAAAAUUCUAAGGCAACAGACGUUCUUAUUUUCCCUAUUUAUGGUGAGAGGACCUUUAGAAAGCUGCAUAUUUAUUUAUUUAUUGUUGGAAUUAAGUAGUCAUAUGACCCUCUCUUUCUGUUUCUUUCAUAAAGCACGUUGCAGUAAUAAUGGUAUUUAUACACACACAUGUAUGUAUGAUGUACUAAUUCCAUCAAAUUGCCUUUAACAUGAAAAAUUAUUGGAUUGGUGUGGACACUGAGAA